AGAGUUUGAUCCUGGCUCAGGACGAACGCUGGCGGCGUGCUUAACACAUGCAAGUCGAACGAGAAAAGUUUCCUUCGGGGAAGGCGAGUAGAGUGGCGCACGGGUGAGUAACACGUGGGUAAUCUACCCCUCAAUUUGGGAUAACAUUGCGAAAGUGAUGCUAAUACCGAAUAACAUCCAUAAUACUUUGGUAUAGUGGACCAAAGGUGGCCAAUCCUUGGAAGCUACUGUUGGGGGAUGAGCCUGCGUACCAUUAGCUAGUUGGUAGGGUAAUGGCCUACCAAGGCGACGAUGGUUAGCUGGUCUGAGAGGAUGAUCAGCCACACUGGAACUGACACACGGUCCAGACUCCUACGGGAGGCAGCAGUGAGGAAUUUUGCGCAAUGGGGGCAACCCUGACGCAGCAACGCCGCGUGAGUGAUGAAGGCCUUUGGGUCGUAAAACUCUGUCAGCAGGAAAGAAGUUAUAUAUGGUUAAUACCCAUAUAUAUUGACGGUACCUGCAAAGGAAGCACCGGCUAACUCCGUGCCAGCMGCCGCGGUAAUA
Molecule: ribosomal RNA, 546 nt
Filed under: bacterium enrichment culture clone Cont49_3130
Lineage: Bacteria
Description: bacterial SSU rRNA
Rfam family: Bacterial small subunit ribosomal RNA
Source: RNAcentral